UACGUAGGGACCAAGCGUUGUCCGGAAUCAUUGGGCGUAAAGCGCGCGUAGGUGGCUUCGUAAGUCCGUUGUGAAAGUCAAAGGCUCAACCUUUGAAAGCCGAUGGAUACUGCGGAGCUAGAGUACGGAAGAGGCGAGUGGAAUUCCUGGUGUAGCGGUGAAAUGCGCAGAUAUCAGGAAGAACACCCGUGGCGAAGGCGGCGUCUCUGGGACGGUACUGACGCUGAGGAGCGAAAGCGUGGGGAGCGAACAGG
Molecule: ribosomal RNA, 254 nt
Filed under: uncultured bacterium
Lineage: Bacteria
Description: partial 16S ribosomal RNA
Rfam family: Bacterial small subunit ribosomal RNA
Source: RNAcentral